Molecule: long non-coding RNA, 1025 nt
Organism: Octopus bimaculoides (California two-spot octopus)
Lineage: Eukaryota; Metazoa; Mollusca; Cephalopoda; Octopoda; Octopodidae
Source: RefSeq, a predicted model, not a curated record
UUUCUCUAAAUUUACACCUUAUGUUUCAUUUACCAUUGGAGAAAAAAAUAAUAACUGUUGAAACCAGUGCAGUAUUUUAAUAAAUAUUUUAAAAUUUAAUAAAAUUACAGUUAAUUUUAAGACACAGGUGAAUUUUCAACUUCAAAGCCAGUUCUCCUAUAUUCCCAGUUGUGUGGAAGUAAACAUCUUUUUUCCUAUAUAAUAAUCAACUUUCAACUUCCAUGUUCUAUGCUGGCUAUGGGCUGGAUUAUACGCCAACAUGAAACAUGGACAUUAAAUUAUGAUGAUUAUAUAUCUAUAUUUCAUGUUAUGUUAAGAGGUAAUGCACAAUACCAGAAUUUUUAACAAGAGUCAAAUAUAACAGACUAUUCCAAAUCAUUGUUAGAGUAUCCAUGUAAGUGGAGUGAAGACCAGUUAGUUUGUAGUUGUCUUAGUUGUAAUAAUGAAAUCAAACCAAGUAGUGAUAUUUUGCAAUCAUUUGAUACAGAUGUUUCAGGUUUAUGUAAUAGCCAACUUAAUGCUCUAAACACAUAUAUAUUACAACAUUUGUGUCAAUUUCUUCAUACUUUUGAAAUGCUUUACUGAGGGAGGUUUAUGUAAUGGAUCCAUUUCCCACUAUAUAUUAUGCAAGCCUGAAAUGGCCCUAUCCACUCCCACUGUACCCAACAGUGCAGAAUUCAAAGGAAACUACUCUGGCAGCUCCACAGGGCCAGCCUAUCUAUACAAGAAAUACAUUUGUUUAGAUAAUCCAGAAAUGAACACCAAGCCAGGUGCAGGUAGAAGAUAUUAACUGCAGAAAUGCAUACUGGAUGAAAAGUGUAACGGAAAAAGAAAUAUGGUAGGAAUGAGAAGAUAAAGCAUGAAGCAUCUACACAAGAAACAAUUUAAAUUCUAAAUCUAGCUUUUAUCUAUGUAUGGAUAAAUAGAUAGUUUAAGCUUUUUUUAUUAUUAAUAAUCUUGAGUUACUCUAACUUCUGCCAAUAUUAUAUAAUUUUAUAUAAAUAAAUACCUUGCAGUUAAAUGUU